RNAcentral lists this long non-coding RNA (259 nucleotides) under Lathyrus oleraceus (garden pea). RNAcentral's name for it is "Pisum sativum (pea) long non-coding RNA (PSAT_LNC035063)". Lineage: Eukaryota; Viridiplantae; Streptophyta; Magnoliopsida; Fabales; Fabaceae. The record is from RNAcentral.
GAUCCCAAUGUUAAUGCAUAUGAUGAGAUAGCAUGAGGGAUCUUAUGGUCAAAAUUGGGAUCUUACAAUUAUCUAAGUGACUAAAUUAUUCUAAAAAUUCUAGAGUAACUAAUAAGUUACUAAGGCAACUCUCACAAAAUCCUCAAAUGGUUUUGAGGACCCAUGAAAAUCACCAGAAAAUGUCUUACGGAAUAGCUAUUUGGCUAUUAAAUCAAAUAGUGAUGUAUGACAGAAAUUUAUAUUGCAUAAUUGAUUAUCC